AGUGUAAGUGUGUUCUGUCUUGUUAUUGUCAUGUUUCUACAGUAAUAGAAAGGUUUUUUCCCGUAGCAUUCAAAAAUAGACCAGAGAUGCUUGACCUACAUGUAUAUUUGGCAAUUUUGAGAUUGCAAUAACCCUAAUGAUACGGUUACUUAACAGCCAUCGUUUCGGAGACUCUGACCAGAGCGAAGAAGAAGUGGAAAAUGGUGACGUAGUGUCUCAGUUCGAAGCACUACCAGUUCGAAGCCCAAGCCAAUUGCAGACUCCACCAUCUCGCCGAGUGCCAGGCAGUAGAUUCACUGCUCCUCAACCUGGAGAAAACUGUCUAGCAUCUCAGCAUAGGGCAGGACCUCAUCACCCUAUAUCCUCUCAACUCCCUGCACCCGCAUUUAACAUCCAGAGAGUUACUCAAG
Gadus macrocephalus (Pacific cod) is the source of this 410-nucleotide long non-coding RNA. RefSeq lists it as uncharacterized. NCBI's taxonomy places the organism in Eukaryota, Metazoa, Chordata, Actinopteri, Gadiformes, Gadidae. The transcript is spliced from 3 exons. The record is from RefSeq and is a predicted model, not a curated record.